GUGGGGAAUCUUCCGCAAUGGACGAAAGUCUGACGGAGCAACGCCGCGUGAGUGAAGAAGGUUUUCGGAUCGUAAAGCUCUUUCGUUAGGGACGAACGUGCUCUUUGUGAAUAAUGAGGAGUAAUGACGGUACCUAAAUAAGAAGCCACGGCUAACUACGUGCCAGCAGCCGCGGUAAUACGUAGGUGGCAAGCGUUGUCCGGAUUUAUUGGGCGUAAAGCGCGCGCAGGCGGGAUAUCAAGUCUGUCUUAAAAGUGCGAGGCUCAACCUCGUGAGGGGACAGAAACUGGUAUUCUUGAGUGUCGGAGAGGAAAGUGGAAUUCCAAGUGUAGCGGUGAAAUGCGUAGAGAUUUGGAAGAACACCAGUGGCGAAGGCGACUUUCUGGACGAUGUCUGACGCUGAGGCGCGAAAGCUAGGGGAGCGAACGGGAUUAGAAACCCGGGUAGUCC
This 450-nucleotide ribosomal RNA is filed under the name uncultured bacterium. Its description in RNAcentral is "partial 16S ribosomal RNA". It matches the Rfam family "Bacterial small subunit ribosomal RNA", at positions 354 to 796 of the family's 1533-position model. The record is from RNAcentral.